RNAcentral lists this ribosomal RNA (508 nucleotides) under uncultured bacterium. RNAcentral's name for it is "partial 16S ribosomal RNA". It matches the Rfam family "Bacterial small subunit ribosomal RNA", at positions 28 to 507 of the family's 1533-position model. The record is from RNAcentral.
GACGAACGCUGGCGGCGUGCCUAAUACAUGCAAGUCGAACGCUUCUUUCCUCCCGAGUGCUUGCACUCAAUUGGAAAGAGGAGUGGCGGACGGGUGAGUAACACGUGGGUAACCUACCCAUCAGAGGGGGAUAACACUUGGAAACAGGUGCUAAUACCGCAUAACAGUUUAUGCCGCAUGGCAUAGGAGUGAAAGGCGCUUUCGGGUGUCGCUGAUGGAUGGACCCGCGGUGCAUUAGCUAGUUGGUGAGGUAACGGCUCACCAAGGCCACGAUGCAUAGCCGACCUGAGAGGGUGAUCGGCCACACUGGGACUGAGACACGGCCCAGACUCCUACGGGAGGCAGCAGUAGGGAAUCUUCGGCAAUGGAUGAAAGUCUGACCGAGCAACGCCGCGUGAGUGAAGAAGGUUUUCGGAUCGUAAAACUCUGUUGUUAGAGAAGAACAAGGACGUUAGUAACUGAACGUCCCCUGACGGUAUCUAACCAGAAAGCCACGGCUAACUACGUG